CCUACGGGGCGCAGCAGUAGGGAAUUUUCGUCAAUGGGCGCAAGCCUGAACGAGCGAUGCCGCGUGAGUGAAGAAGGCCUUCGGGUCGUAAAGCUCUGUUGCGGGGGAAAAAAGGCAACUACAGGAAAUGGUAGAUGACAGAUGGUGCCCCGCCAGAAAGUCACGGCUAACUACGUGCCAGCAGCCGCGGUAAUACGGAGGAUGCGAGCGUUAUCCGGAUUUAUUGGGUUUAAAGGGUGCGCAGGCGGCCUGUUAAGUCAGCGGUAAAAGCCCGGGGCUCAACCCCGGCGAGCCGUUGAAACUGG
This 305-nucleotide ribosomal RNA is filed under the name uncultured bacterium. Its description in RNAcentral is "bacterial SSU rRNA". It matches the Rfam family "Bacterial small subunit ribosomal RNA", at positions 338 to 636 of the family's 1533-position model. The record is from RNAcentral.